RNAcentral lists this ribosomal RNA (384 nucleotides) under uncultured bacterium. RNAcentral's name for it is "bacterial SSU rRNA". It matches the Rfam family "Bacterial small subunit ribosomal RNA", at positions 9 to 410 of the family's 1533-position model. The record is from RNAcentral.
GAGUUUGAUCGUGGCUCAGGAUGAAUGCUGGCGGCGUGCCUAACACAUGCAAGUCGAGCGGUAAGGCCCCUUCGGGGGUACACGAGCGGCGGACGGCUGAGUAACGCGUGGGAACAUACCCCAAAGUGAGGGAUAAGCUCCAGAAAUGGAGUCUAAUACCGCAUAUGAUCUUCGGAUUAAAGGAUUUAUCCGCUUUGGGAAUGGCCUGCGUACGAUUAGAUAGUUGGUGAGGUAAUGGCUUACCAAGUCUACGAUCGUUAGCUGGUCUGAGAGGAUGACCAGCCAGACUGGAACUGAGACACGGUCCAGACUCCUACGGGAGGCAGCAGUGAGGAAUAUUCCACAAUGGGGAAACCCUGAUGGAGCAACGCCGCGUGCAGGAUG